Molecule: ribosomal RNA, 420 nt
Filed under: bacterium
Lineage: Bacteria
Description: partial 16S ribosomal RNA
Rfam family: Bacterial small subunit ribosomal RNA
Source: RNAcentral
UGGGGGAUAUUGCACAAUGGGCGAAAGCCUGAUGCAGCGACGCCGCGUGGGGGAUGAAGGCUUUCGGGUUGUAAACCUCUUUCGCUAUCGAACAAGGCCCGCUUAGGGUGGGUUGAGGGUAGGUGGAGAAGAAGCGCCGGCUAACUACGUGCCAGCAGCCGCGGUAAUACGUAGGGCGCGAGCGUUGUCCGGAACUAUUGGGCGUAAAGGGCUUGUAGGCGGCUUGUUGCGCCUGCUGUGAAAACGCGGGGCUUAACUUCGCGCGUGCAGUGGGUACGGGCAGGCUUGAGUGUGGUAGGGGUGACUGGAAUUCCAGGUGUAGCGGUGGAAUGCGCAGAUAUCUGGAGGAACACCGAUGGCGAAGGCAGGUCACUGGGCCAUUACUGACGCUGAGGAGCGAAAGCAUGGGUAGCGAACAGG